This 65-nucleotide ribosomal RNA is filed under the name Lepidium sativum. Its description in RNAcentral is "partial 5.8S ribosomal RNA". The record is from RNAcentral. Lineage: Eukaryota; Viridiplantae; Streptophyta; Magnoliopsida; Brassicales; Brassicaceae.
CUGGUAGUCUUUGACGCAGUUGCGCCCCAAGCCUUCUGGCCGAGGGCACGUCUGCCUGGGCGUCA